Molecule: unclassified non-coding RNA, 299 nt
Filed under: Hevea brasiliensis (rubber tree)
Lineage: Eukaryota; Viridiplantae; Streptophyta; Magnoliopsida; Malpighiales; Euphorbiaceae
Source: RNAcentral
GGCCUUGACCUCAGAUCACUAUAAAUACAAAGAAUUAGACAAAUAAGAUGGCCUAGAUUAACAACAAAGCCAGAACAAGAUGAGUUUAUGACUAAUAAACAAGCACUGCACAACGUUGCUUUGAAAGCCUUCUCUUUCUCUUUCCAUCAUCAAAUGGCUGGGGACUGUAUGAAUGAGGAACUCUGAUCCUUUUUGAGCCAUCAGGAAGACGUUUACAAGGAAAAUGAUCGUCUUCAACCAUAAAAUCACCACAAACCUGCAUGGAAAACAAAAGAGAGUCAAGACUUGAAACCAAGAAA